Malania oleifera is the source of this 908-nucleotide long non-coding RNA. RefSeq lists it as uncharacterized. The record is from RefSeq and is a predicted model, not a curated record. The transcript is spliced from 3 exons. Lineage: Eukaryota; Viridiplantae; Streptophyta; Magnoliopsida; Santalales; Ximeniaceae.
AUCUAUUUUAAAUCUCCUCUCUCUCUCUCUCUCUCUCUCUCUCUCUCUCUCUCUCUCUCUCUGAAAUAGGGUUGCAAACAAACUAAGCCGCUCAUUUCGGCUCCUGAGCAGUUCGGUCACAGACUCAAUUGAGCUCUUUUAUUUGGCUCGUCACUCUCUGUAGGGACCCAACGACAGCACAGGCGCAAUGCAGCUCCACAAUCCACUCUCUGUGACUGCAUACACGGCCCACAGGUAAGAUCAUCAAUUUUGAAGAUCUGCUCUCUGGAUUUUGUGUACGCAGCCAGCAAGUAAGAUCGACGCCGAUCGGACUGAGUCUGAGAGAGCCGAGAGAGGGAGAUUGACGCUGCAUUGAGAGUGAGCCGAGACGAGAGGGAGAGUCGAAGACUGAGGGAGACUAAGAGUGAGAGGGAGGGGACGGCGUGCGGCGACACUACUAAUGGAGAGUCGAGAUCGUGAGAACCGAGAGAGUGAGAGUGAGAGUGAGAGUGAGAGUGAGGGGGACGGCGUGCGGCUGCGGCGACGACGACCUGCGGGCUGGGCUGCAUGGGGUGCGGCGUGCGGGCGGCGUGCAGUGCUGGGAGCCUGGGCAGAGAGCAGUGGGCGUGUGGCCGUGACCGUGUGGCGUGGGUAAGAUAGACGGCAAGAGAUUAGGGUUUGGUUAAAUGGGUAUACAUAGGUAAAUAAACAGGUCACCCAGGUGACCCGAACCCAGGUGACCCAUUUAUAAAGGGGCGAAUCAUGGCUUGACCUGUUCAUAAACGGCUUGAAUUUCAAAGACCCAAAUUUGUCUUAAUGGGUCAUGACCUGUUUUGUGAGGACUAUAAAAAUGGCAGGCUGGGUAUAGCUCCAAAGAAGGAGAAAAUUAUAUGGGGAAAGUAGCCCCAAUAUAAUGUGUUUAAUGUGUU